ACCGCCCCGGAUCCGCCCAGC
Molecule: unclassified non-coding RNA, 21 nt
Filed under: Mus musculus (house mouse)
Lineage: Eukaryota; Metazoa; Chordata; Mammalia; Rodentia; Muridae
Description: oocyte_clustered_small_RNA396
Source: RNAcentral